GUGAUGUUAGUGUGUGUAUGUGUAAGGGUGCUGUGUGUGUAAGGGUGCUGUUAGUGUGUGCUGUGUGUGUGUGAGGGUGCUGUUAGUGUGUGCUGUGUGUGUGUGUGUGUAUGUGUGAAGGUGCUGUGUGUGUAAGGGUGUUGUUAGUGUGAGGGUGCUGUUAGUGUGUGUGUGUAAGGGUGUUGUUAGUGUGUGCUGUGUGUGUGUAAGGGUGCUGUGUGUGUGAGGGUGCUGUGUGUAAGGGUGCUGUUAGUGUGUG
Non-coding RNA from Pelobates cultripes (western spadefoot toad), 259 nucleotides. The record is from the annotation of a GenBank genome assembly. NCBI's taxonomy places the organism in Eukaryota, Metazoa, Chordata, Amphibia, Anura, Pelobatidae.